RNAcentral lists this unclassified non-coding RNA (216 nucleotides) under Hevea brasiliensis (rubber tree). Lineage: Eukaryota; Viridiplantae; Streptophyta; Magnoliopsida; Malpighiales; Euphorbiaceae. The record is from RNAcentral.
UGGAGGUCUUGUCCACAUUCACAACAAGUCUGGUGUCCACAGCCAAAAGCCAUGUCCUUCGGAUUGGUGAGGCAAAUGGGGCAGACCUGGUUAUCAUAAGUUGAGCUAGCUACAGGAGGAGCUGUACUAGUACUAGUACUAGUAGGAUUUCUGUUUACGGGGUAAGAAGGCACACUUGGCUCAUAACUGGAAGACCAGGUAGGCUUUGAACUACUA